This is a long non-coding RNA of Lingula anatina, 506 nucleotides long. The record is from RefSeq and is a predicted model, not a curated record. NCBI's taxonomy places the organism in Eukaryota, Metazoa, Brachiopoda, Lingulata, Lingulida, Lingulidae.
UUUUACAGCCAGAGUUGAGGGCAGAUGAGUUCGGUGCUGUUGUUUUUUCGAUGACGUUUUGGUCUGUAGAGGAGUGAUUUUAAUAUCACAAGUGUUUGGUCUUUGUAUUCAGUGCACACAUUAUGUCUAUAUAGUAGGAGUGGAUCAAGUCUCAUGAGUCCGGUAGAUGAGCUCCAAACUCGGAAAGUGCGCCGUGUUUAGGAUUAUAGUCCUAGUAGAUAAAACAAAAACACUGACUGAUAUUUAUCACAUUAAUUAAUGUCUGAAUAUGGCAGCAAUUCUACAGCAAACUGCGAUUUUUCUUUGUGUACAGUUAGUUUUGUGUGGAAAAUCUUAUAGCCAGAUCGCACCAGCAAAGACCAGCACUUUGCUUCCCACAGGAUCGAACGUAUGUACCUACAGGCAGCGUGUAGAAUCAAAGGACAUAAACGGGAAAUCUACUGUUAAAUACCUGACGGCCUACAGAUGUUGUGAUGGAUGGACCAAAUACAAGAGUCAUUCUGUAG